AGUGAACGCUGGCGGUAGGCCUAACACAUGCAAGUCGAACGGCAGCACAGUAAGAGCUUGCUCUUACGGGUGGCGAGUGGCGGACGGGUGAGGAAUACAUCGGAAUCUACUUUUUCGUGGGGGAUAACGUAGGGAAACUUACGCUAAUACCGCAUACGACCUACGGGUGAAAGCAGGGGAUCUUCGGACCUUGCGCGAUUGAAUGAGCCGAUGUCGGAUUAGCUAGUUGGCGGGGUAAAGGCCCACCAAGGCGACGAUCCGUAGCUGGUCUGAGAGGAUGAUAAGCCACACGGGAACUGAGACACGGUCCAGACUCCUACGGGAGGCAGCAGUGGGGAAUGUGGGACAAUGGGCGCAAGCCUGAUCCAGCCAUACCGCGUGGGUGAAGAAGGCCUUCGGGUUGUAAAGCCCUUUUGUUGGGAAAGAAAAGCAGCAGGUUGAUACCCCGCUGUUCUGACGGUACCGAAAGAAUAAGCACCGGCUAACUUCGUG
RNAcentral lists this ribosomal RNA (492 nucleotides) under uncultured bacterium. Its description in RNAcentral is "partial 16S ribosomal RNA". It matches the Rfam family "Bacterial small subunit ribosomal RNA", at positions 29 to 507 of the family's 1533-position model. The record is from RNAcentral.